GCACUGCUGAGGAGUCCUAUGCUAGGACGAAACAGCCGUCCAGUGC
Molecule: non-coding RNA, 46 nt
Filed under: Schistosoma margrebowiei
Lineage: Eukaryota; Metazoa; Platyhelminthes; Trematoda; Strigeidida; Schistosomatidae
Source: RNAcentral